GACGAACGCUGGCGGCGUGCUUAACACAUGCAAGUCGAACGAGAGGACAAGAGAAGCUUGCUUCUUUUGGGAUCGAGUGGCAAACGGGUGAGUAACACGUAAACAACCUGCCUUCAGGAUGGGGACAACAGCUGGAAACGGCUGCUAAUACCGAAUGUUGUAUCUCCUCCGCAUGGAAGAGAUAUUAAAGAUGGCCUCUACUUGUAAGCUAUCGCUUUGCGAUGGGUCUGCGUCUCGAUUAGCUAGUUGGUGGGGCAACGGCCUACCAAGGCGACGAUCAGUAGCCGGUCUGAGAGGAUGAACGGCCACAUUGGAACUGAGACACGGUCCAGACUCCUACGGGAGGCAGCAGUGGGGAAUCUUCCGCAAUGGGCGAAAGCCUGACGGAGCAACGCCGCGUGAGUGAAGAAGGUCUUCGGAUCGUAAAGCUCUGUUGUCGGGGACGAAUGUUGAGACCUAGAACAUAGGUUUCAAAUGACGGU
This 482-nucleotide ribosomal RNA is filed under the name uncultured bacterium. RNAcentral's name for it is "bacterial SSU rRNA". It matches the Rfam family "Bacterial small subunit ribosomal RNA", at positions 28 to 476 of the family's 1533-position model. The record is from RNAcentral.